GUGUCCUCAGCAGCCUCUCUUCAAUCUGAACCUCAUGUGGAAGUUGAUGUAACAACUUUCAGUAAUGAUUUAAGUGUCACAUCUGUUACUGAAAAAUAAAAACCUAGUAGGUGAGUAUUCCUCCAUGAAAUGUUAACCUUUUGUAAAGACCUAUUUACACGUCAAAAAGGCCCAAAGGCAUUUUUAGCUGAUGUACAUCAGCAUAGGCCCAGCUAUGCAGUUUUACCCACCUAUUCUGUUUUACACCACUCUCCAUAUUGGCAAUCUUGCCUCUGGCUAUGUAGAACUAUAAUCUGUAGAUCCUUAGAUUGGCACUGUGGAUGUGGCCAAGCAAUCCUCAGCACGUUAAAAGCUGUGGACCAGGAUUUUCUUUCUAAGGAGGCCUCUUUCUGAAGACAUAUCCUUUAACAUUGCUCAGUUUUGAUGAUGAGCUUCCUAAGAUUGCUCAGGAUGACCAAAUUGAACAAAUUUAUCUUCUAAUAAAGCUGCCAGGACUCAUGUUGCUGAGGUCCUCCCAGAACCUAACAUCUCUUCAAAAUCUUCACAGAAAUUUGGGAGGAAGUGAAUUGCAAGCAGAGGUUUUGCACCUAUGGUAGCCUGAAGUCCAUUGCCUCUGCAAGACGUGGGAGCAGGUCCUGUCUGCACAUAAUUGAGUGGGUUAGUUAGAGUACUGUUAGCCUAUAUACAGACCUUACUUUGGGGUGAAUAGCAUAUUUCAGCAUAAGUCCAUGCUUGUCUGACCUAAACUGAAUUAAAAUAAGCUGAGUUUAAACUAAGGGAUGACUGAUUUUUCUGGCUUUUGCACUAAAUCAGCUACAUUAGGUUUUAAAACACACUUUGAAAGAAGACCCUACAACUCUGCAUGCAGGCAAGCCUUUAAGCUUCAAUUUGUUUGUGUGAUAUACAGAUCAGAGAGUACAAAGGGCAUCUUUGUUCUCCUCCCAGCUCUGAUCCACACGUCUCUUUCUUUCUUCACUGUUAUUUUCUGCUGGACCCAUGAGGUCAUCUCAGUUUGACUAUUCAUUUGUGACUGCAAUAAUAAUUUUUUAGAAGAUGUCACAUGUGGUGAAAAUUCCUGUCUGAACACUGUUAACAGCAUGGUGAAAGACAGGCUGAUCUUCACCUGGCCAGAGCUGGAAGCAGAUUCUGGAGAUGCUGUUUUACUCAUCUGGGACUGAUCUCAGUUUGUAGCCUAUUUGCCAGCAUGACAUGCCAUCAGAUUUCCAGAAUACUCGAUGGGAGGAUUUGCGCUUUCAGCUGCACACUGAUGAGUGCCCCUCUGGUUCCCCUCCCCCAGCUUAUUAGCAUGCAUGUCUCCCCUUAUUAGUGUUCGUCAUUAUGUGAACAUCUGGUAACUAUUCUGUUUUCCUUCUCCUCAGAAAGAGGGCUUCACAGCCAUGAGGAAAAUUAGUAUUACGUACAAGCAAUUUUUAAUACUGACUCCAGGUCCAUUAAUUUUUUUCAUUAUCGUUAUCAUCAUUACCAUGGCAAGGGUGGGCAGGUAGGCUGCAGGCCUGAUUCCCAUCUCACUUGGAGAGUAUAGAGGGAGUAAAACUCUUCCAAAGGCAGCAGGGUUACACCAAUGCAAGCUGGGGUAAGUGCAGAUCAGGGUCUGACUCAUUACAAUUUUUUUUUUCAUGGCUGCCUUUAAAAUAUGAGUAGUUUCUCUUCCAAAUCCAUUUAACUGUAAUUAACUGUAAUGAAGUUGUGGGGUUUUGGUUUUUUUUUUCUGCUUGUAUUUCUCAAAUACAUGCUCCACCAAAGAUUUUAAAUGACCCCUCUGGCUACAUAUCUUGUAAUCAAUGUAGAAAUUAUUUCUCUCAGGUAUGUAAGGAGAAGGUGAAAAAGAGAUAAUUGGAAACUAGACAUAUUUGCUGAGGUCCUCACUUUGAUUUUUUUCCUUCAAUAGAUGACUGGUUAAGAUGGAACACACAUUUUUAGUGGAUCAUGGUUAUAUUCAGUACUCUCAGCCAGGUCGCAAGGCUUCACGAACUGUCUGAAAUAUUCCAGAAUUUAGAUCUCCCACCUUCCCUCUGUAUUGCUAUACUGGCUUAUUAUUUUUCAUUUUAUUUUAAUCUCACAUUCCAAAGAAAAUGAGUUUAAAACAAAUCAAUAGAACACUUCUAAAUGAACAGAAGCCUUUAACGAGUUAGAUGAUGUGAAAAUUAAGGAAAUGCUGGGAACAAAAUGCCAAGAGAUAAAUAUCAAAACUGGUUUUGAAUGUUGAGUUACUUCCCUGUCUUCGAAAUGGACACACACAUAGAGUGAUUAAUUGCCUGAACAAAGUCAAUGAAAUACUAAAUCUUCUGCUUAUUUUUAACCUGUGGGAUCACAUUUUCAUUUCUGGAUUUAUUAUUCUUAACCGUGUACCACUAGAGGGUGCUCAGAUAGCAGUAUUUCUGGGAAUUUAUAAAUCAUUAUUUCUGGAAUUUUUUGCUUAUGUGAAGCUAGGUGUGGCUUUAAUUCUCAUCUACUUACUGGGUCUGGCUGGUUUGUUUGUUUGCUUGUUUUUUUCCCCUCUGUCUCUAUUUAGAGCUUCUGCAAGCUGAGAGACCCUUGAAUGAGUUUGUAGUUCAUCAUCUUGAUGCUAUUUUAAUAGCAUUCGUCAGCACAGCACAGAUAAUCUCACUGUGUCACUCCUCACAUCACGGCCAAACAUGAAUUAUUGUGCCACAGGCAUGAAAACAGAAUUAAACAUAAGCUUCCAAAUAUUUAAAUUGGACUUGGUAGAAUCUGAGGAUCCAGAACCAUUUCAGGAAAAAUGUUGGAGAGGAGUAGUAACUUUCAUACCCUUUGUCCUUCACAUCGGAAGCCUUCACUCAACUGAGUGGUGGCUUUACCUCUGUCUGUGACUUUUGCCAGGAGUGCGUUGCUUUGGAGAUCUCAUGGUCUGUGUGUUACGACAAGCAUAUAACCUUUCCAACCUAAGGGGCCUACGAGCAGAUUGAUCAGUCUGCCUCUUCUAAAGGAGGACAUGUAACAGCUGUGACCACAGCACCUGAUUGAGCCCAGGGUGCUCUGCCAUGUUCCCAGGAAAGAAGCCCAUAUAUAGCUCUACAACAUAGCCAUGUAGAGCACAUACAGCAAUCCAGCAUGAUGACAAAGAUGGAAGCAAGGUGGGUAGGAGCUGGUUUCCACCCCUCCAGCAAUUCAUCCACACCUCUAUGCAGUCUAAUGGCUGGAUGAGCUGCAGCCUGCAGCCAGGCUGGGAGCCCUAGGCUUGGCAGAUGUCAUGUUGCACUUCCUGACUAAACUGUUCAUAUGCAGCCAUUCAUUGAUCCACACCCCACAGGUUCGUGAACUUCAGGCUACCUUCAGGACACUGCGCCUCUUUGUUGCUGUGCUUCCAGCAUUGUACCUUGAACCAAUCACAGCCUUACAUACUCUCAUUUGCUCUGUAUGAAAGACUUCUCUGCCCUUUUUGAAGAUGUUAUUUUAACACCCCUAUGAAGAGAUGAUUUUACCACAGCUGGGAAGAGAAACUAAACUCUUGGAUGCUUUCAAGUCGUAUGCAUUGUUUGUGGAAAUGAGCAGAUUUCAGCAAUUUACCUCAGGCAGAAUUGUGCAGUUAUGAGAAAAAUGUGUAGUUUUGCCACCAUAUUCCUUCAUGAACUGGUAUGGUUUGGGUUUUGGUUUUGUUUCUGCUUUGUUUUGUUUUUAAAUUGUUGUUGAGCCUUUCUGUUCAUGCUCUGGAAAUCGUUUUUCUCCAAGCCUUCCACAACUACACCUAACUUUGUAGACACCAUGAGACAAGCAUAGGCAUUUUAAUGAAGAAUAUACAAUUUUAUUGUGACACA
This is a long non-coding RNA of Pezoporus occidentalis (night parrot), 3797 nucleotides long. RefSeq lists it as uncharacterized. The transcript has 2 exons. The record is from RefSeq and is a predicted model, not a curated record. NCBI's taxonomy places the organism in Eukaryota, Metazoa, Chordata, Aves, Psittaciformes, Psittacidae.